CACGCCGUAAACGAUGAUUACUAGGUGUGGGGGGACUGACCCCCUCCGUGCCGCAGUUAACACAAUAAGUAAUCCACCUGGGGAGUACGACCGCAAGGUUGAAACUCAAAGGAAUUGACGGGGGCCCGCACAAGCAGUGGAGUAUGUGGUUUAAUUCGAAGCAACGCGAAGAACCUUACCAGGUCUUGACAUCCCGUGCAUAGCUUAGAGAUAAGUGAAGCCCUUCGGGGCACGGAGACAGGUGG
This 245-nucleotide ribosomal RNA is filed under the name uncultured bacterium. Its description in RNAcentral is "partial 16S ribosomal RNA". It matches the Rfam family "Bacterial small subunit ribosomal RNA", at positions 796 to 1041 of the family's 1533-position model. The record is from RNAcentral.